This 467-nucleotide ribosomal RNA is filed under the name uncultured bacterium. Its description in RNAcentral is "partial 16S ribosomal RNA". It matches the Rfam family "Bacterial small subunit ribosomal RNA", at positions 28 to 507 of the family's 1533-position model. The record is from RNAcentral.
GAUGAACGCUGGCGGCGUGCUUAGCACAUGCAAGUCGAACGGAAAGGCCCAAGCUUGCUUGGGUCCUCGAGUGGCGAACGGGUGAGUAACACGUGGGUGAUCUGCCCUGCACUUCGGGAUAAGCCUGGGAAACUGGGUCUAAUACCGGAUAGGACCACAUUUUGGAUGGUGUGGUGGAAAGUUUUUCGGUGUGGGAUGAGCUCGCGGCCUAUCAGCUUGUUGGUGGGGUAAUGGCCUACCAAGGCGUCGACGGGUAGCCGGCCUGAGAGGGUGUACGGCCGCAUCGGGACUGAGAUACGGCCCAGACUCCUGCGGGGGGCAGCAGUGGGGAAGAUUGCACAAUGGGCGCAAGCCUGAUGCAGCGACGCCGCGUGGGGGAUGACGGCCUUCGGGUUGUAAACUCCUUUCGCUAGGGACGAAGCGUUUUUGUGACGGUACCUGGAGAAGAAGCACCGGCUAACUACGUG